Long non-coding RNA from Brienomyrus brachyistius, 667 nucleotides. RefSeq lists it as uncharacterized. The transcript has 3 exons. The record is from RefSeq and is a predicted model, not a curated record. NCBI's taxonomy places the organism in Eukaryota, Metazoa, Chordata, Actinopteri, Osteoglossiformes, Mormyridae.
AGUUUAGCUGCAAAACAACGCUGAUCUUCACAGACCUCCAGUGGAAUCAUGAAGUCCCAUCAGAUCUCUGCCUUCUGCCUCCUGAUGACAGUGCUGCUGUCCUCCACUCUGGCUCGUAAUGAAAACCGACCAGAACACUGUUGUUUUAAAUACCUUUCUGGAAGACUGAAGAUGGACAUGAUAUCUGGAUAUAUGGAGACCAGAGGGGACUGCCCUAAACCUGGAAUUAUAUUUUACACCAAUAUGGGCUUUGAAGUGUGUGUCAAUCCCAGCGCUCACUGGGUUGAGGAAGUCAAGCAGAAGCUGGAUAAGCAGUAACACCUCCUGUCUGCUUCGGAGAAGAACAAGAAGAAGACAUUUGUAUUUCAUUUCAGAUUCUACUUUAAUUUUCCCAAAACAUUAUUUCCUGUCAUCUUCUAAAAUAAAUCAUAUACGUUUUUACAACAUUUUAUAUUUGCUUUUAAAAUUUACUUUACAUUUACUUUAGUAAAUCUAGCAGAAGCUUUUCUUCAACGCGACACAGAAGUGAGGAGACAGGAGGGAUGACUAGGCUGAGCUUCAUACAUAUCUUCAGUUGUUUUUUUAAACAGUUCAGUUUGCAUUUGCAUUGUAUUGCAUUUAUACCACUUUGCAUGCAUGUCACAGAAUAAAGACUACUGAACAGUUA